This 833-nucleotide ribosomal RNA is filed under the name uncultured bacterium. RNAcentral's name for it is "SSU rRNA". It matches the Rfam family "Bacterial small subunit ribosomal RNA", at positions 60 to 887 of the family's 1533-position model. The record is from RNAcentral.
AGUCGAGGGGCAGCACGAAUUAGCUUGCUAAUUUGGUGGCGACCGGCGCACGGGUGCGUAACGCGUAUGCAACCUACCUUAUACAGGAGUAUAGCCCGGAGAAAUUCGGAUUAAUCCUCCAUGGUACUGAGACACCGCAUGGUGCUUCAGUUAAAGCUUCGGCGGUAUAAGAUGGGCAUGCGUCCUAUUAGCUAGAUGGUAAGGUAACGGCUUACCAUGGCUACGAUAGGUAGGGGGCCUGAGAGGGUGGUCCCCCACACUGGUACUGAGACACGGACCAGACUCCUACGGGAGGCAGCAGUGAGGAAUAUUGGUCAAUGGGCGCAAGCCUGAACCAGCCAUGCCGCGUGCAGGAAGAAUGCCCUAUGGGUUGUAAACUGCUUUUAUUUGGGAAUAAACCUUUCUACGUGUAGGAAGCUGAAGGUACCAAAUGAAUAAGCACCGGCUAACUCCGUGCCAGCAGCCGCGGUAAUACGGAGGGUGCAAGCGUUAUCCGGAAUCAUUGGGUUUAAAGGGUCCGCAGGCGGAUUUAUAAGUCAGUGGUGAAAGCCUACAGCUUAACUGUAGAACUGCCAUUGAAACUGUAAGUCUUGAAUUCGGUCGAAGUGGGCGGAAUGUGUAGUGUAGCGGUGAAAUGCAUAGAUAUUACACAGAACACCGAUAGCGAAGGCAGCUCACUAGGCCUGGAUUGACGCUCAGGGACGAAAGCGUGGGGAUCAAACAGGAUUAGAUACCCUGGUAGUCCACGCUGUAAACGAUGAUUACUCGUUUUCGGCGAUAUACAGUCGGAGACUAAGCGGAAGUGAUAAGUAAUCCACCUGGGGAGUACGAUC